RNAcentral lists this ribosomal RNA (208 nucleotides) under Enterococcus faecium. RNAcentral's name for it is "partial 23S ribosomal RNA". It matches the Rfam family "Bacterial large subunit ribosomal RNA", at positions 1 to 207 of the family's 2925-position model. Lineage: Bacteria; Bacillati; Bacillota; Bacilli; Lactobacillales; Enterococcaceae. The record is from RNAcentral.
GGUUAAGUGAAUAAGGGCGCACGGUGGAUGCCUUGGCACUAGGAGCCGAUGAAGGACGGGACUAACACCGAUAUGCUUUGGGGAGCUGUACGUAAGCUAUGAUCCAGAGAUUUCCGAAUGGGGGAACCCAGCAUCUUUAAUAGGAUGUUACGAUUGUGUGAAUACAUAGCACAUUCGAGGUAGACGCAGAGAACUGAAACAUCUAAGU